This 506-nucleotide ribosomal RNA is filed under the name uncultured bacterium. Its description in RNAcentral is "partial 16S ribosomal RNA". It matches the Rfam family "Bacterial small subunit ribosomal RNA", at positions 28 to 523 of the family's 1533-position model. The record is from RNAcentral.
GAUGAACGCUAGCUACAGGCUUAACACAUGCAAGUCGAGGGGUAACAAGAGAAAAGCUUGCUUUUCUUGUUGACGACCGGCGCACGGGUGAGUAACGCGUAUCCAACCUGCCUAUAACUAGGGAAUAACCUUGCGAAAGUAAGACUAAUACCCUAUGAUUUCCUUUGAUGACAUCAGAUUAGGAAUAAAGAUUUAUCGGUUAUAGAUGGGGAUGCGUCUGAUUAGCUUGUUGGCGGGGUAACGGCCCACCAAGGCAACGAUCUGUAGGGGUUCUGAGAGGAAGGUCCCCCACAUUGGAACUGAGACACGGUCCAAACUCCUACGGGAGGCAGCAGUGAGGAAUAUUGGUCAAUGGGCGGAAGCCUGAACCAGCCAAGUAGCGUGCAGGAUGACGGCCCUAUGGGUUGUAAGCUGCUUUUAUACAGGAAUAAAGUUAGCCACGUGUGGUUAUUUGUAGGUACUGUAUGAAUAAGGACCGGCUAAUUCCGUGCCAGCCGCCGCAGUAA